GAAACACGAUAGUUAAUGUGAAUUGCAGAAUUCAGUGAAUCAUCGAGUCUUUGAACGCACAUUGCGCCCAUAGGUAUUCCUUUGGGCAUGUCUGUUUGAGCGUCAUUACAACCCUCAGCUAACCGCUGGUUUUGAACCUGAACGGGUGACACCGCGCCGGUUUUAAAGUUGUAAGCUCUGCUGGCCGCUCUGCCCAACCAGAACAUAGUAAGCACUACUUGUCCGGGUGAAGCUGAACGGUACGGCCUGAACAAAACCUACCCACUCUCAAGGUUUGACCUCAGAUCAGACAAGGAUACCCGCUGAACUUAAGC
RNAcentral lists this unclassified non-coding RNA (314 nucleotides) under plant metagenome. Its description in RNAcentral is "partial contains 5.8S ribosomal RNA, internal transcribed spacer 2, and large subunit ribosomal RNA". The stretch from base 1 to 105 matches the Rfam family "5.8S ribosomal RNA", at positions 50 to 154 of the family's 154-position model. The record is from RNAcentral.